Molecule: ribosomal RNA, 492 nt
Filed under: uncultured bacterium
Lineage: Bacteria
Description: partial 16S ribosomal RNA
Rfam family: Bacterial small subunit ribosomal RNA
Source: RNAcentral
AGUGAACGCCGGCGGUAGGCCUAACACAUGCAAGUCGAACGGCAGCACAGUAAGAGCUUGCUCUUACGGGUGGCGAGUGGCGGACGGGUGAGGAAUACAUCGGAAUCUACUUUUUCGUGGGGGAUAACGUAGGGAAACUUACGCUAAUACCGCAUACGACCUACGGGUGAAAGCAGGGGAUCUUCGGACCUUGCGCGAUUGAAUGAGCCGAUGUCGGAUUAGCUAGUUGGCGGGGUAAAGGCCCACCAAGGCGACGAUCCGUAGCUGGUCUGAGAGGAUGAUCAGCCACACUGGAACUGAGACACGGCCCAGACUCCUACGGGAGGCAGCAGUGGGGAAUAUUGGACAAUGGGCGCAAGCCUGAUCCAGCCAUACCGCGUGGGUGAAGAAGGCCUUCGGGUUGUAAAGCCCUUUUGUUGGGAAAGAAAAGCAGCAGGUUAAUACCCCGCUGUUCUGACGGUACCCAAAGAAUAAGCACCGGCUAACUUCGUG